GGGCGCCAGCAGCAGGCUUAGCCCAAUCAGGGCUCGUUUGCUCCUCCUGGGUUUGCCAGGGAGGCAACUACUGUCUAACUCUCUUUAAGCCUCUGGCCUGUACUUUCCGCAUUCUGGGAUCCAGGCCGUGUCGUAGCGGCUCCCGGUCCCUCAUUCCCUCCCGUUCAUUUCCCUUCAGAUGCUCACCUGGCUGGAACACAUCAAGCCCAGGCUGAGCUUUGUGUGUAGAUGGGCUCUCUAGUUUUAGUAGCUGACCUGUUUCAUCCUUCUGUCCCCAGUCUAGAGUUUCCGCACUCCCGUUGUGUUAGGUCUCGUAUUGGGCAGAGGGCUCGGCUUCUGACCCCUGCUCUGCUCACAGAUUCCUGGGCAGCGAUUCCCACGACUCCUACUUCUCCAACACGCAGAGGCACCUCGUGGUGAGACAACUGCCUGGGGAGGGUCCAGCUGGACCUUAAGGGGGCGGAGCUGACGCCAGGAUUCUCCCUGGCAAGUGGCAGAGAUCCUGACCCGCACAGUCCACGGGAAGCAGAAACGCACAGAGAUGGGCAUUGCCCAUCUGCUAGCCAAGGGAGUCUAUACUGCAGCCUUCCCACUGCAUGAGGGAAGAGAUCUGUGCCAGCGGGGGUGCCUUCCUCAUGUGCCCACACCAUGACACCCGUGCCAUGUGGAAUAUUUCCAAGAUCUGCCCCAUGGCCAAGGGCCUGUGUUCUUCAGCAUCUUCAUGUCCUUCUGGGCCAUGGCCUUCCUGGAGCACUGGAAGCACAAGAGCAUCACCUUGGUCCAUCACUGGGACUGCAGUGACUUCCAGGAAGAGGAGGUGAUGCCCAGCUCAGCCCUCCAGGCCCAGAACUCCACUUCCCAGAGUUCUCAGAGGC
Diceros bicornis minor is the source of this 875-nucleotide long non-coding RNA. RefSeq lists it as uncharacterized. NCBI's taxonomy places the organism in Eukaryota, Metazoa, Chordata, Mammalia, Perissodactyla, Rhinocerotidae. The transcript is spliced from 3 exons. The record is from RefSeq and is a predicted model, not a curated record.